This 1488-nucleotide ribosomal RNA is filed under the name Lactiplantibacillus plantarum. RNAcentral describes it as "bacterial SSU rRNA". It matches the Rfam family "Bacterial small subunit ribosomal RNA". The record is from RNAcentral. Lineage: Bacteria; Bacillati; Bacillota; Bacilli; Lactobacillales; Lactobacillaceae.
GACGAACGCUGGCGGCGUGCCUAAUACAUGCAAGUCGAACGAACUCUGGUAUUGAUUGGUGCUUGCAUCAUGAUUUACAUUUGAGUGAGUGGCGAACUGGUGAGUAACACGUGGGAAACCUGCCCAGAAGCGGGGGAUAACACCUGGAAACAGAUGCUAAUACCGCAUAACAACUUGGACCGCAUGGUCCGAGUUUGAAAGAUGGCUUCGGCUAUCACUUUUGGAUGGUCCCGCGGCGUAUUAGCUAGAUGGUGAGGUAACGGCUCACCAUGGCAAUGAUACGUAGCCGACCUGAGAGGGUAAUCGGCCACAUUGGGACUGAGACACGGCCCAAACUCCUACGGGAGGCAGCAGUAGGGAAUCUUCCACAAUGGACGAAAGUCUGAUGGAGCAACGCCGCGUGAGUGAAGAAGGGUUUCGGCUCGUAAAACUCUGUUGUUAAAGAAGAACAUAUCUGAGAGUAACUGUUCAGGUAUUGACGGUAUUUAACCAGAAAGCCACGGCUAACUACGUGCCAGCAGCCGCGGUAAUACGUAGGUGGCAAGCGUUGUCCGGAUUUAUUGGGCGUAAAGCGAGCGCAGGCGGUUUUUUAAGUCUGAUGUGAAAGCCUUCGGCUCAACCGAAGAAGUGCAUCGGAAACUGGGAAACUUGAGUGCAGAAGAGGACAGUGGAACUCCAUGUGUAGCGGUGAAAUGCGUAGAUAUAUGGAAGAACACCAGUGGCGAAGGCGGCUGUCUGGUCUGUAACUGACGCUGAGGCUCGAAAGUAUGGGUAGCAAACAGGAUUAGAUACCCUGGUAGUCAUACCGUAACGAUUGAAUGCUAAGUGUUGGAGGGUUUCCGCCCUUCAGUGCUGCAGCUAACGCAUUAAGCAUUCCGCCUGGGGAGUACGGCCGCAAGGCUGAAACUCAAAGGAAUUGACGGGGGCCCGCACAAGCGGUGGAGCAUGUGGUUUAAUUCGAAGCUACGCGAAGAACCUUACCAGGUCUUGACAUACUAUGCAAAUCUAAGAGAUUAGACGUUCCCUUCGGGGACAUGGAUACAGGUGGUGCAUGGUUGUCGUCAGCUCGUGUCGUGAGAUGUUGGGUUAAGUCCCGCAACGAGCGCAACCCUUAUUAUCAGUUGCCAGCAUUAAGUUGGGCACUCUGGUGAGACUGCCGGUGACAAACCGGAGGAAGGUGGGGAUGACGUCAAAUCAUCAUGCCCCUUAUGACCUGGGCUACACACGUGCUACAAUGGAUGGUACAACGAGUUGCGAACUCGCGAGAGUAAGCUAAUCUCUUAAAGCCAUUCUCAGUUCGGAUUGUAGGCUGCAACUCGCCUACAUGAAGUCGGAAUCGCUAGUAAUCGCGGAUCAGCAUGCCGCGGUGAAUACGUUCCCGGGCCUUGUACACACCGCCCGUCACACCAUGAGGGUUUGUAACACCCAAAGUCGGUGGGGUAACCUUUUAGGAACCAGCCGCCUAAGGUGGGACAGAUGAUUAGGGUG